UACGAAGGGGGCUAGCGUUGCUCGGAAUCACUGGGCGUAAAGGGUGCGUAGGCGGGUCGUUAAGUCAGGGGUGAAAUCCUGGAGCUCAACUCCAGAACUGCCUUCGAUACUGGAAAUCUCGAGUCCGGGAGAGGUGAGUGGAACUCCGGGUGUAGAGGUGAAAUUCGUAGAUAUUCGGAAGAACACCAGUGGCGAAGGCGGCUCACUGGCCCGGUACUGACGCUGAGGUGCGAAAGCGUGGGGAGCAAACAGG
Molecule: ribosomal RNA, 253 nt
Filed under: uncultured bacterium
Lineage: Bacteria
Description: partial 16S ribosomal RNA
Rfam family: Bacterial small subunit ribosomal RNA
Source: RNAcentral